RNAcentral lists this ribosomal RNA (800 nucleotides) under Flavobacterium sp. Its description in RNAcentral is "bacterial SSU rRNA". It matches the Rfam family "Bacterial small subunit ribosomal RNA", at positions 85 to 887 of the family's 1533-position model. The record is from RNAcentral. Lineage: Bacteria; Pseudomonadati; Bacteroidota; Flavobacteriia; Flavobacteriales; Flavobacteriaceae.
GACUUUGAGACCGGCGCACGGGUGCGUAACGCGUAUGCAAUCUACCUUUUACAGAGGGAUAGCCCAGAGAAAUUUGGAUUAAUACCUCAUAGUAUAAUGACCUGGCAUCAGGAUGUUAUUAAAGUCACAACGGUAAAAGUAUGAGCAUGCGUCCCAUUAGCUAGUUGGUAAGGUAACGGCUUACCAAGGCUACGAUGGGUAGGGGUCCUGAGAGGGAGAUCCCCCACACUGGUACUGAGACACGGACCAGACUCCUACGGGAGGCAGCAGUGAGGAAUAUUGGACAAUGGGCGCAAGCCUGAUCCAGCCAUGCCGCGUGCAGGAUGACGGUCCUAUGGAUUGUAAACUGCUUUUAUACGAGAAGAAACACUACUUCGUGAAGUAGCUUGACGGUAUCGUAAGAAUAAGGAUCGGCUAACUCCGUGCCAGCAGCCGCGGUAAUACGGAGGAUCCAAGCGUUAUCCGGAAUCAUUGGGUUUAAAGGGUCCGUAGGCGGUUUGGUAAGUCAGUGGUGAAAGCCCAUCGCUCAACGGUGGAACGGCCAUUGAUACUGCCAGACUUGAAUUAUUAGGAAGUAACUAGAAUAUGUAGUGUAGCGGUGAAAUGCUUAGAGAUUACAUGGAAUACCAAUUGCGAAGGCAGGUUACUACUAAUGGAUUGACGCUGAUGGACGAAAGCGUGGGUAGCGAACAGGAUUAGAUACCCUGGUAGUCCACGCCGUAAACGAUGGAUACUAGCUGUUGGAAGCAAUUUCAGUGGCUAAGCGAAAGUGAUAAGUAUCCCACCUGGGGAGUACGUUC